UACGAAGGGUGCGAGCGUUGUUCGGAAUUAUUGGGCGUAAAGGGUUUGUAGGCGGGAAUGUAAGUCAAGUGUGAAAUAGUCGAGCUUAACUCGAAUUCAGCAUUUGAAACUACAUUUCUUGAGUAUCAGAGGGGGCGGUAGAAUUGCUGGUGUAGGAGUGACAUCCGUAGAGAUCAGCAGGAAUGCCGGAGGCGUAAGCGGCCGCCUGGCUGAGAACUGACGCUGAGGAACGAAAGCAUGGGGAGCAAACAGG
Molecule: ribosomal RNA, 253 nt
Filed under: uncultured bacterium
Lineage: Bacteria
Description: partial 16S ribosomal RNA
Rfam family: Bacterial small subunit ribosomal RNA
Source: RNAcentral